RNAcentral lists this ribosomal RNA (433 nucleotides) under uncultured bacterium. RNAcentral's name for it is "partial 16S ribosomal RNA". It matches the Rfam family "Bacterial small subunit ribosomal RNA", at positions 29 to 507 of the family's 1533-position model. The record is from RNAcentral.
AGCGAACGCUGGCGGCAGGCCUAACACAUGCAAGUCGAACGGAUCCUUCGGGACUAGUGGCGGGCGGGUGAGUAACACGUGGGAACGUGCCCUUUGGUUCGGAACAACUCAGGGAAACUUGAGCUAAUACCGGAUGUGCCCUUCGGGGGAAAGAUUUAUCGCCAUUGGAGCGGCCCGCGUCUGAUUAGCUAGUUGGUGAGGUAACGGCCCACCAAGGCGACGAUCAGUAGCUGGUCUGAGAGGAUGAUCAGCCACACUGGGACUGAGACACGGCCCAGACUCCUACGGGAGGCAGCAGUGGGGAAUCUUGCGCAAUGGGCGAAAGCCUGACGCAGCCAUGCCGCGUGAAUGAUGAAGGUCUUAGGAUUGUAAAAUUCUUUCAGCGGGGACGAUAAUGACGGUACCCGCAGAAGAAGCUCCGGCUAACUUCGUG